AUGGCGCGGCCGCUCGCCCUCGCCCUCGCGCUCCUCGCCGUGUCAGUGACAGUGCUUCCGCUUGUCAGCUCCGCUGACGACUACGCGCGCUGCGAGGGGGCGGUCAAGGGCUGGGCGGACUCAGCCGGGGAGGGCGACAAUGCCGGAGACAAACUGAACCUCAAGGAUUUGCUCUUCUUCCUUCACAUUCCUAGAACCGGUGGGCGUACCUACUUCCACUGUUUCUUGAAGAAGCUGUAUACGAAUGCUCAGGAAUGCCCCCGCUCCUAUGAUAAGCUGCGGUUCGACCCGAGCCAUCCUGAUUGCACGCUAGUUGUUAGCCAUGAUGACUAUAGCUUAACUUCCAAGCUGCCAAGGGAGAGGACUUCCGUGGUCACAAUACUACGAAAUCCAGUUGAUCGUGUGUUUAGCACGUAUGAGUUCUCCGUGGAAGUUGCAGCCAGAUUUCUUGUGCAUCCAAACUUAACAUCUGCCAAGACAAUGACCAGCCGCGUGUUAACAAAAUCACGUGCUGUAAGUACACUGGACAUAUGGCCUUGGAAAUACUUGGUUCCAUGGAUGAGAGAAGAUCUUUUCGCCAGGAGAGAUGCUAGAGGGAAUGACAGCGUGCCAAGUAGCAAGAAAAUUAAUGCAUACGAUGUGGAAGACAUGGUUAUGCCAUUGCACCAGUACAUCAAUGACCCUGUUGCCCAUGAAAUCAUUCAUAAUGGAGCUACCUUUCAGAUCACUGGGCUAACAAAUAAUUCUUACUUCGAUGGUGCACAUGAGGUUCGACAUUGUGUUAGAAAGUACCCUGAUCUUGGUCGUUUUGUGCUUCAAGUUGCUAAGAACAGGCUGGACCGUAUGCUGUACAUAGGACUUACAGAGGAUCAUGAGGAAUCUGCAAGGUUGUUCGCUCAUAUGGUAGGAGCACAAGUGCUUUCACAAUCUGGAGCGUUGAAGUUAGAUGUUCAGGAAGAUCAACCCAGUGGCACUGACUCUCACUUGUCCAUGCUGGAUCCAGAGGAUGAAGAAACAAAUGAACAUAUGAAUAGCACCCAUGGCUGGAAAAAUAAUGAAGCUCUGAACACUACUGAGGAUGAUCAUGGAAAAGGAAAUAUGACUGUUGGUAAACUGAUGGAAACUUACGAGGGUUGCAUUGCAAAACUGCGAAAGUCCCAAUCUAGCCGUCGCAGAAUAUCCCUAAAGAAGGUUGCGGCGGCAAAUUUUACGAAGGCGGCAAGGCGUCAUGUACCUGAGGCAAUUCUGAAUCAAAUUAUCUCACUGAACAGCCUUGACAUGGAACUCUAUGAGCAUGCUAAGAAGAUUUUUGAACAAGAACAUCUUAUGCUUAAAGGCCAGCAUCCGAUGGUGGUGCAGCAGAAACAAUUGGCAGAUCAAAUGGUUCGGUCAAGCUCAUAUGAAGGCCAGCAUCCCAUGGUGGUGCAACGCAAACAAUUGACAGAUCAAAAGGACUGGAUAGAUGCUGUCUGCGAGUCCUGGAGUUGCUCUACCUGGUGGAAGGUCGCCUCAUUUUGUCUUGGGAUUGCGGUCACCACUGUUUUUGUUGUGUUUGUUGUAACAGGCAGAAGAACAUUGAAACUUAAGGUUUGA
Molecule: ribosomal RNA, 1593 nt
Filed under: Triticum aestivum (bread wheat)
Lineage: Eukaryota; Viridiplantae; Streptophyta; Magnoliopsida; Poales; Poaceae
Description: partial small subunit ribosomal RNA
Source: RNAcentral